UCCUUCCUCAAAACUUCAAGUGCUC
RNAcentral lists this non-coding RNA (25 nucleotides) under Mus musculus (house mouse). The record is from RNAcentral. RNAcentral also lists the same sequence under 1 other name. Lineage: Eukaryota; Metazoa; Chordata; Mammalia; Rodentia; Muridae.